This 274-nucleotide ribosomal RNA is filed under the name uncultured bacterium. RNAcentral describes it as "partial 16S ribosomal RNA". It matches the Rfam family "Bacterial small subunit ribosomal RNA", at positions 523 to 796 of the family's 1533-position model. The record is from RNAcentral.
AUACGGAGGGUGCAAGCGUUACUCGGAAUCACUGGGCGUAAAGGACGCGUAGGCGGGUUGUCAAGUCAGAUGUGAAAUCCUACAGCUUAACUGUAGAACUGCAUUUGAAACUGGCAACCUAGAGUAUGGGAGGGGGAGAUGGAAUUAGUGGUGUAGGGGUAAAAUCCGUAGAUAUCACUAGGAAUACCGAAAGCGAAGGCGAUCUCCUGGAACAUAACUGACGCUAAGGCGUGAAAGCGUGGGGAGCAAACGGGAUUAGAAACCCUAGUAGUCC